AUUGAACGCUGGCGGAAUGCUUUACACAUGCAAGUCGAGCGGCAGCGCGGGGCAACCCUGGCGGCGAGCGGCGAACGGGUGAGUAAUACAUCGGAACGUGCCCAGACGUGGGGGGAUAACUACUCGAAAGAGUGGCUAAUACCGCAUACGAUCUAAGGAUGAAAGCGGGGGAUCGCAAGACCUCGCGCGUUUGGAGCGGCCGAUGGCAGAUUAGGUAGUUGGUGGGGUAAAGGCUUACCAAGCCCGCGAUCUGUAGCUGGUCUGAGAGGAUGAUCAGCCACACUGGGACUGAGACACGGCCCAGACUCCACGGGAGGCAGCAGUGGGGAAUUUUGGACAAUGGGCGAAAGCCUGAUCCAGCCAUUCCGCGUGCAGGAUGAAGGCCCUCGGGUUGUAAACUGCUUUUGUACAGAACGAAAAAAGCUCUUUCUAAUACAGAAGUCCAUGACGGUAUGUAAGAAUAAGCACCGGCUAACUACGUGCCAGC
RNAcentral lists this ribosomal RNA (487 nucleotides) under uncultured bacterium. RNAcentral describes it as "bacterial SSU rRNA". It matches the Rfam family "Bacterial small subunit ribosomal RNA", at positions 30 to 512 of the family's 1533-position model. The record is from RNAcentral.